RNAcentral lists this small RNA (477 nucleotides) under Histoplasma capsulatum. RNAcentral describes it as "hypothetical RNA". The record is from RNAcentral. Lineage: Eukaryota; Fungi; Ascomycota; Eurotiomycetes; Onygenales; Ajellomycetaceae. RNAcentral also lists the same sequence under 1 other name.
GGCCACUCAAAUCCGUCUAUUGAUACUACUACACUCAGCGGCUCGAAAUGGAUGGGUUGUGUUGGGUUGGGGAUAAGCUACGGUUUUGGUUUUGGUUUUGGUUUUGCUAAACGAUGCGGUUGGUUAAGUAGUUAGUUAUCCUGCGCGUGGUUUGGACUUGCAUAUUUAAUAUAACUAGUUAGUUAACUACUGCUGAUCAGUGAAGUUAUUAUAUUAAACCUUGAUUGAUUGAGCUGUCCUUAUGUCAAACAUGGAGAAAUAGUUUCGCAGAAGGAUUUUUUUUAAAGAAAAAAAUAAAAAAAAACAUAAAAAGGGAGAGAGCGACAUGGAUAAGUUAGAAUGCAUAAUAGGCAGGCAGAUCGAUAUAAAGAAGACCAAUUUAACCCAUAAGUCAAUAAGUCAUUGCAUUAUUAAACACAUGAAAAAAAAAAAAAAACAUCAGUUACAUAUUAAUCAAACAAAAGCAACACGAGCGGG